Molecule: ribosomal RNA, 370 nt
Filed under: uncultured eukaryote
Lineage: Eukaryota
Description: partial 18S ribosomal RNA
Rfam family: Eukaryotic small subunit ribosomal RNA
Source: RNAcentral
CAAUAGCGUAUAUUAAAGUUGUUGCGGUUAAAAAGCUCGUAGUUGGAUUUCUGGUCGGAAGCUCCUGUCCUCUGAUGAGCGUACAAGUGCGUCCUACCAUCCUUCUGUUAACCUUUAAGGCUUUCGCGGCUUUCUAGGGGCUCAGAUAUUUUACCUUGAGAAAAUUAGAGUGUUUCAGGCAGGCUAGCGCCGGAAUACAUUAGCAUGGAAUAAUGGAAUAGGACUUUUGCCUCUUCUGUUGGUCAUGAGGCUCGAGUAAUGAUUAAUAGGGAUAGUUGGGGGCAUUAGUACUUAACUGUCAGAGGUGAAAUUCUCGGAUUUGUUAAAGACUAACUUAUGCGAAAGCAUUUGCCAAGGAUGUUUUCAUUAA